AUGAUUUAUUUAAUGGCCGCGGUAUUUUGACCGUGCAAAGGUAGCAUAAUCAUUAGUCAUUUAAUUGUUGACUUGUAUGAAUGGUUGGACGAAGUAUUAACUGUCUUAUUUAUAUUAUUAGAAUUUAAAUUUUGAGUUAAAAUGCUUAAAUUUUUUUAUAGGACGAGAAGACCCUGUAGAUCUUUAUUUAUUUGAUUCUUAUAUUUUUUGGAUUAUUUAUUUAUAAUUAUUAUAUAUUUUUUGUUGGGGUGACAAGGAGAUAAAAUUAACUCUUUAUUUUAUUUAACACUGAUUUGUGAUUUUUUGACCUUUUAUUAAUGUUAUAAGAUUUAGAUACCUCAGGGAUAACAGCGUAAUUCUUUUUGAGAGUUCAUAUCGACAGAAGAGAUUGCGACCUCGAUGUUGGAUUAAGAUUAUAAAUAGGUGUAGGUGCUUAUUAAUUAAGUCUGUUCGACUUUUGAAAUCUUACAUGAUCUGAGUU
Molecule: ribosomal RNA, 481 nt
Filed under: Bacillus sp. SB0310
Lineage: Eukaryota; Metazoa; Arthropoda; Insecta; Phasmatodea; Bacillidae
Description: partial 16S ribosomal RNA
Rfam family: Bacterial large subunit ribosomal RNA
Source: RNAcentral